GAGUUGUAAUUUAAAGAAGCGUUUUCGGUGGCAGCCUGGGUAUAAAUCCUUUGGAAUAGGGUAUCAUAGAGGGUGAGAAUCCCGUCUUUGACCUAGUGCAUGCUACUAUGUGAUACGUUUUCAAAGAGUCGAGUUGUUUGGGAAUGCAGCUCAAAAUGGGUGGGAAAUUUCAUCUAAAGCUAAAUAUUGGCGAGAGACCGAUAGCGAACAAGUACCGGGAGGGAAAGAUGAAAAGAACUUUGAGAAGAGAGUUAAACAGCGCGUGAAAUUGUUGAAAGGGAAACGUUUGACACCAGCCANGUCGGGGNAAAAUCA
RNAcentral lists this ribosomal RNA (315 nucleotides) under soil fungal sp. DM260. RNAcentral's name for it is "eukaryotic LSU rRNA". It matches the Rfam family "Eukaryotic large subunit ribosomal RNA", at positions 140 to 453 of the family's 3401-position model. The record is from RNAcentral. Lineage: Eukaryota; Fungi.